GGACAUCAAUGCAUUCAUGCAUAAUACAAAAAGGAUCAAUGUUCAACAAAAAAUUCACCAAGCCAACUCCAUGAUAGUAGAGUAAUGGAAAGACAAACAAAAUACAAGUAUCUCAAAAUAGGUACAUGUACAAUCCAACAAAAGGGGUUCUCGCUCAAAGACUCCAUGGAUAAUUGUCAUGCUAAUAUUUAACUUGGUGUACAAGAAGGAUGACCUAGCCUGAUUAGGUUAGAGAAGUCCCACCUUCAUCAGCACCUCCAGUCAUCGUCUCACUAAACAUACCAACCUCAUAGGUGCCUCUUUUUGUGUCGGACCCAUCCAAUUUGGGUUGGGGGCGUUGCCAAAAUCAAGCUCACCUCGUGUAAGAGCAUCCUCUCAGAUCAUCCAAUGAAUAGUCGUGUAGCCCUUCUUCAUCAGUUUCAUGCAACACUGAAAGCCCUUAUCUGAGUAAGCUAACCUGAGCACCUCGAUCUCCUUAGAAGACUUGAAGUCUUCAAUCACCUUCUCAUUGGCCGACCUCAUUUCCGCCACCUCAUUAGUAAGCUUCAUCACUUGCUUUGAAUCACCCUAACAUCCUUAGCAUGCGUGUUAGCCACACAUUUAAGCUCGAACUUGGCAUCACCAACUUUCUUCCUUUCAACGUCAACCACUGAUCUCAGCUUGGUGAUGAGAAUGUCAUUAUUUUCCUUCUUUUUUCUAGUUCCUAGAUAUGAGCACUUUGCUUUUUAAGGUUGCCGUGGUCUCCAGCUGAGCAUGAUAUUGAAGCCAAGUCCCCUGAAAAAAAAAACAAAGAGAAAAAAAAAAGUGAGUGAAGCUAAGCAUUAAUCCUAGAAAGACCACAU
This 842-nucleotide long non-coding RNA is filed under the name Prunus persica (peach). RNAcentral describes it as "long non-coding RNA (PPER_LNC007792)". Lineage: Eukaryota; Viridiplantae; Streptophyta; Magnoliopsida; Rosales; Rosaceae. The record is from RNAcentral.